AACGAACGCUGGCGGCAGGCCUAACACAUGCAAGUCGAGCGCGCCCUUCGGGGUGAGCGGCGGACGGGUGAGUAACGCGUGGGAACGUGCCCUUUUCUACGGAAUAGCCUCGGGAAACUGAGAGUAAUACCGUAUACGCCCUUUGGGGGAAAGAUUUAUCGGAAAAGGAUCGGCCCGCGUUGGAUUAGGUAGUUGGUGGGGUAAUGGCCUACCAAGCCGACGAUCCAUAGCUGGUUUGAGAGGAUGAUCAGCCACACUGGGACUGAGACACGGCCCAGACUCCUACGGGAGGCAGCAGUGGGGAAUCUUAGACAAUGGGGGCAACCCUGAUCUAGCCAUGCCGCGUGAGUGAUGAAGGCCUUAGGGUUGUAAAGCUCUUUCAGCUGGGAAGAUAACGACGGUACCAGCAGAAGAAGCCCCGGCUAACUCCGUG
RNAcentral lists this ribosomal RNA (433 nucleotides) under uncultured bacterium. RNAcentral describes it as "partial 16S ribosomal RNA". It matches the Rfam family "Bacterial small subunit ribosomal RNA", at positions 29 to 507 of the family's 1533-position model. The record is from RNAcentral.